CCUACGGGUGGCUGCAGUGGGGAAUAUUGCACAAUGGGCGCAAGCCUGAUGCAGCCAUGCCGCGUGUGUGAAGAAGGCCUUCGGGUUGUAAAGCACUUUCAGCGGGGAGGAAGGCGUUAAGGUUAAUAACCUUGGCGAUUGAAGUUACCCGCAGAAGAAGCACCGGCUAACUCCGUGCCAGCAGCCGCGGUAAUACGGAGGGUGCAAGCGUUAAUCGGAAUUACUGGGCGUAAAGCGCACGCAGGCGGUCUGUCAAGUCGGAUGUGAAAUCCCCGGGCUCAACCUGGGAACUGCAUUCGAAACUGGCAGGCUAGAGUCUUGUAGAGGGGGGUAGAAUUCCAGGUGUAGCGGUGAAAUGCGUAGAGAUCUGGAGGAAUACCGGUGGCGAAGGCGGCCCCCUGGACAAAGACUGACGCUCAGGUGCGAAAGCGUGGGGAGCAAACAGGAUUAGAUACCCUUGUAGUC
RNAcentral lists this ribosomal RNA (465 nucleotides) under uncultured Klebsiella sp. RNAcentral describes it as "bacterial SSU rRNA". It matches the Rfam family "Bacterial small subunit ribosomal RNA", at positions 338 to 795 of the family's 1533-position model. Lineage: Bacteria; Pseudomonadati; Pseudomonadota; Gammaproteobacteria; Enterobacterales; Enterobacteriaceae. The record is from RNAcentral.